GUGUUGUACUGAAUGAGAGAAAGCUAGCAUUCUCCUUGACAAGGAUGGAAGAGGCUCUCGGGCCUGACAACACUCAAACAGUUGGACAUUGCUUCCUACUGCCAAGGUACUCUAAUCGGAAGAAGCUCUCCUUAAAAUAACAAAUAAAU
Molecule: non-coding RNA, 149 nt
Filed under: Octodon degus (degu)
Lineage: Eukaryota; Metazoa; Chordata; Mammalia; Rodentia; Octodontidae
Source: RNAcentral